CUCCUCUCAGGGUCACAUCUGGAGAGUUUCCAGUACUCCACCAAUCUCGACUAAAAGAGGAAGAGUCAAGCAGAAGCGUACUCAUUCCAUUCCUAGCUUGGGCAGUGGCUAAUGAGUGGAAAGCAAUCUGCUACAAGU
Molecule: small nucleolar RNA, 138 nt
Organism: Tachyglossus aculeatus (Australian echidna)
Lineage: Eukaryota; Metazoa; Chordata; Mammalia; Monotremata; Tachyglossidae
Source: RefSeq, a predicted model, not a curated record